GUACUCCUUGGUUCAUGCCAGUGUUCCUGCACCCAGCACUGAAGCUGAACAUUGACAGUGAUUUGCCCCUGCCCCAGAGUCCUCCCUGCAUUCCCCUCGAGGGCCCCCGUCUCCUGGCCCUGGUGUCCACUUUUCUCUCAGCUGCUGGGAACGUGUUAGUGUGCACUGUUCUCCUUUCCCUCACCUGCUGGCUUCAUGUUAGCAUGCACCGUUCUGCUCACUUUCUUCCCCUCACCUGCCGGGAUCAUCUUAGCAUGCACCAUUCUGCUCACUUUCUUCCUCUCACCUGCCAGGAUCAUGUAAGCGUGCACCGUUCUCCACACUUUCUUCCUCUCACCUGCCGGGAUCACGUUAGCAUGCACCAUUCUGCACACUUCCUUCCCCUCAUCUGCCAGGGUCAUCUUAGCAUGCACCAUUCUGCUCACUUCACCUUCUUCUUCUCGCCUGCUGGGAUCAUGUUAGUGUGCACUGUUCUGCACACUUUCUUCCUCUCCCCUGCUGGGAUCAUGUUAGUGUGCACCGUUCUGCACACUUUCUUCCUCUCACCUGCUGGGAUCAUCUUAGCAUGCACCAUUCUGCUCACUUUCUUCCUGUCACCUGCUGGGAUCAUGUUGGCGUGCACCAUUCUGCACACUUUCUUCCUCUCGCCUGCUGGGAUCAUGUUAGCGUGCACAGUUCUGCAUACUUGCUUCCCCUCACCUGCCAGGAACAGGUUAGUGUUCCCCAUUCUGCACACUUUCUUCCUCUCACCUGCCGGGAUCAUGUUAGCGUACACCAUUCUGCACACUUUCUUCCUCUGUGUACGUGUGUGUGGUUUUCCUUUCAGAAAUGGGUCAUACUCUGUGGACAUCUUUUUCCACUUAAAGUGAUGGCACAGCCAUUUUCCCAGUCAAGUAACAUGAAUGUACAAGUUUAGCAAACUUCCUCCUGAGAGAUGGAGAGAUCAAGGCUUCUGCUCCGUGGCAGCCAUCCGUGCACAUGCAUCACUGUGCGUGAGUUGGUCCCAGUGGCUUGCUGAGACAUGCUCUGCACAGGGGAGAUUUCUUAUACCAGCAGUGUGGGAGGCAGUGGGGCAGGUAGAGCCACAAGUGGGGAUGAGGGAGCAGAGUCUAGGGCAGGCUCCUGGAUGGACACCAGCUACACUGUCUAUUGGAUGUGGGACUUCCCUCACUGAUGAAAUGAAUAAGAGAAUCUUCCUCAUCCUGCUGUUGUUGGCGUUAAAACGGGUUAAUGCAUGAAAGCAACAAAGCCCGGCCUGCAGACAGCACAUGGUAAGUCUCCUCUUCCCAGCAUGUUCAACAGGAAGCCCUCAUUCCCUCUAGAAUGUAGGAGUCUUGCCAGCAGUGGCCUGUUUGUUCUCUGCCUGUUGCCGACCUGAUGAGAACAUAAAAUUGGUGUCUUCUGUAUAGAUUUCCUUCUUAUUGCCCCUACUGUGGCUGAACAUACCUUCCCCCGUGCUUGAAGUCUGUUCAUAUAUGUUCUGCUGUGAUAACUGCCCAUUCUUGUUCUCUAUCUAAGAAGGCAUUUAGUUUUGAAAAUAUUUUGUUGGCUUGUAAGAUAUUUGUACAUAUUAAGCACAGCAAACCUGUAACAUAUUCACUGUAAAUCAUUAUUCCUCAUGCAUCAUUUGCCAUUUAACUGUAUUUUUUUCCUUUUUGAUGUAACCUGCUAUAGUUUACAUUUUUAAAUCAGAAAUGCCUGCACAUUUUAAAACGAAGACUCUUAUGCUCUAGCCUUUGAGGUCAUGCUUGGAAAGUCCUUUCUCACACAAAGAUUAUUUACACUUUCAUCUCUUUUUCUCUGAGUACGUUUCAGUGUUUAAUUGACCAGGAAUGUAUUUCGAGGUGUGAUAUGAGACAAGGAUCUGAAAUGCUUUGCCCACUGAAUCAUCAUGCACUGACCGAAAUGCCACCUGUAUGAGUGCUAAAAUCAUUGUCGCUGGACCUGUGUCUGCACUGUUUAAUUUUAGUGUUGUUUCUCACAUCAGCUUCUGUUGUUUUCAUGGUUGUGGUUCUCAUACUUUUAAUAUCUGUUGGAGCAAAUAAAGCCUCGUUUCUCAUCUUUUCCAAAAAUGUCUUAUGUAUGUGAACUUUGGUGUUAUUUGUCAAGUCUGGGCAUUCUCCCACCCCCAUAUUAAAGAAUGCUCUCUGGAGUUUGUCUGGAGGUUUUGUUUAACUUUUAGAUUCACAUCAGGAGAAUCUUUGUCUUCAUGGUAAGUGGUCUUCCCAUCUAAGACUAUUUCUUCAAGCUGUUUGUAAUAAAAAGCUGUGUGAUUUUUGUAUGUUUA
RNAcentral lists this long non-coding RNA (2287 nucleotides) under Homo sapiens (human). RNAcentral describes it as "non-protein coding lnc-ACOX3-1:3". Lineage: Eukaryota; Metazoa; Chordata; Mammalia; Primates; Hominidae. The record is from RNAcentral.